UACCCGCAGCACAAGUGGUGGUCAUUAUUAUUGGGCCUAAAGCGUCCGUAGCUGGCUUGUUAGAUGCCUGGGUAAAUCGAUGCGCUCAACGUAUCGAACUCCGAGUAGACCGGCAAGCUUGGGACCGGGAGAGGCGUGAGCUACUCGAGGGGUAGGGGUAAAAUCCUGUAAUCCUUCGGGGAGGACCAGUGGCGAAGGCGUCACGCUAGAACGGCUCCGACAGUGAGGGACGAAGCCCUGGGGCGCAAACCGG
Molecule: ribosomal RNA, 253 nt
Filed under: uncultured bacterium
Lineage: Bacteria
Description: partial 16S ribosomal RNA
Rfam family: Archaeal small subunit ribosomal RNA
Source: RNAcentral